UACGAAGGGGGCUAGCGUUGCUCGGAAUUACUGGGCGUAAAGCGUAUGCAGGCGGACUUUUAAGUCGGGGGUGAAAUCCCGAGGCUCAACCUCGGAACUGCCUUCGAUACUGGAAGUCUUGAGUCCGGGAGAGGUGAGUGGAACUCCGAGUGUAGAGGUGAAAUUCGUAGAUAUUCGGAAGAACACCAGUGGCGAAGGCGGCUCACUGGCCCGGUACUGACGCUGAGAUACGAAAGCGUGGGGAGCAAACAGG
This 253-nucleotide ribosomal RNA is filed under the name uncultured bacterium. RNAcentral describes it as "partial 16S ribosomal RNA". It matches the Rfam family "Bacterial small subunit ribosomal RNA", at positions 524 to 776 of the family's 1533-position model. The record is from RNAcentral.